RNAcentral lists this ribosomal RNA (301 nucleotides) under uncultured bacterium. RNAcentral describes it as "partial 16S ribosomal RNA". It matches the Rfam family "Bacterial small subunit ribosomal RNA", at positions 509 to 807 of the family's 1533-position model. The record is from RNAcentral.
CAGUCGCCACGGUAAUACGGAGGGGGCUAGCGUUGUUCGGAAUUACUGGGCGUAAAGCGCACGUAGGCGGCUUGGUAAGUUAGAGGUGAAAGCCUGGAGCUCAACUCCAGAAUUGCCUUUAAGACUGCCGAGCUAGCAGGUGAGAGAGGUAAGUGGAAUUCCGAGUGUAGAGGUGAAAUUCGUAGAUAUUCGGAAGAACACCAGUGGCGAAGGCGGCUUACUGGCUCAUACUGGACGCUGAGGUGCGAAAGCGUGGGGAGCAAACAGGAUUAGAUACCCCAGUAGUCCCUGUCUCUUAUAC